AGGCUAUUAACUGUACACA
This 19-nucleotide small nuclear RNA is filed under the name Arabidopsis thaliana (thale cress). Its description in RNAcentral is "snRNA_15724". Lineage: Eukaryota; Viridiplantae; Streptophyta; Magnoliopsida; Brassicales; Brassicaceae. The record is from RNAcentral.